Long non-coding RNA from Trichomycterus rosablanca, 548 nucleotides. RefSeq lists it as uncharacterized. The record is from RefSeq and is a predicted model, not a curated record. The transcript has 2 exons. Lineage: Eukaryota; Metazoa; Chordata; Actinopteri; Siluriformes; Trichomycteridae.
AUGUGAACCUCACUAGCUACAACCAGGCGGAGGAAAAACGACCCGUUACACGGACAGUCUCAGUGAGGCAUUCUGAUGGAAAUCUGUUUACCCGCCGAGGUUAAGGAUUAAUGUCGAGACUGCCGUGACAACUAUGCUGCUCGUGCCGGAUGUGACAGGUCUGGAGUAAUUGCAUUAAGAAUGACAAGAAAUCACUACAGACUUUAUUGAAGACUAGAGCGAAGAACAACUCUAUUAUUAUUUAUCUAUUUAUCUAUUUAUUACCAGUUAUAACUUUUAGAUUAUUUAAUUCUGUGUUUGUAUGCUCUGUGUAAAUUGUGUAUUUAUUUAAAGUAUCCUCCAGGCCACCCAAGAAGGAUGGGCCCUGCUGAGUCUGGUUCCUCUCAAGGUUUCUUCCUGUAAUUUUCAGGGAGUUUUUCCUUGCCACAGUCGCCCUCGGCUUCCUCAACAGGGGUUUUUUGUAUCUGUUGGUCCUAGAUUUUGUAAAGUUGCUUUGAGACAAUGUCUAUUGUAAAAAGCGCUAUAUAAAUAAAGUUGACUUGACUUGA